RNAcentral lists this ribosomal RNA (497 nucleotides) under uncultured bacterium. RNAcentral's name for it is "partial 16S ribosomal RNA". It matches the Rfam family "Bacterial small subunit ribosomal RNA", at positions 28 to 507 of the family's 1533-position model. The record is from RNAcentral.
GAUGAACACUGGCGGCGUGCCUAAUACAUGCAAGUCGAGCGAACGGACGAGAAGCUUGCUUCUCUGAUGUUAGCGGCGGACGGGUGAGUAACACGUGGAUAACCUACCUAUAAGACUGGGAUAACUUCGGGAAACCGGAGCUAAUACCGGAUAAUAUUUUGAACCGCAUGGUUCAAAAGUGAAAGACGGUCUUGCUGUCACUUAUAGAUGGAUCCGCGCUGCAUUAGCUAGUUGGUAAGGUAACGGCUUACCAAGGCAACGAUGCAUAGCCGACCUGAGAGGGUGAUCGGCCACACUGGAACUGAGACACGGUCCGGACUCCUACGGGAGGCAGCAGUAGGGAAUCUUCCGCAAUGGGCGAAAGCCUGACGGAGCAACGCCGCGUGAGUGAUGAAGGUCUUCGGAUCGUAAAACUCUGUUAUUAGGGAAGAACAUAUGUGUAAGUAACUGUGCACAUCUUGACGGUACCUAAUCAGAAAGCCACGGCUAACUACGUG